GCCUAUCCCAGCUAUUCCCAGCUCUCUGCGUGUAAAGCUAACCUGCCCUUGAGCCCAGGGUCCGUACUGAAGGCGGCUGGGAAACCCUUCUCCCACCUGCAGCAUCAUGACGCUGGCUGACUCUGGAGCCCAGGUGAUGCCCUUGGUUCAGAACCACAAAGACAUAGUUUGGGAAUCGACGUAAGCACUCACUGGCUGUAAUCCUGCAAACUCCAGAUAGUGCCACCAUCCUUGAGAAAAUCUGUCUUCAGACUGCCUGACGAGCUGAUGAGUCCUCUCUCCAAAGGAGCUCUGGGAAGAGGGAGACUUUCGCCAGAAGACACACUACAGAAGAAUCCAAGACUUCUCUAUGCUAAAGUUUCUACUGGAAUCAACUCAUUUAGUUUGUCAAGUAGCUGAGUUCACCGCACCGGCUGAGGCUGAAGAAAAUAUUCUCUAGGAAGACACAGGCAGGAUGGUGCAAGAUCUUUGUGGAACCGGAUGGGUGUGUGACCCCUGUUCUGAUGUUUGAUGAUAUUUCUCAACUCCUAAAGAAUAAGGAACACAUCUUGAAAAAAAAAAAUCAUGAAUCAACAAGAGGUAAUAGCCCCAAUGAUUGUUUUAUUCUUUUCCAAACCUCCAGUUUCUGUCCUUUCCAGAGUUCAGUCCCCAAAAAACACUCAGAAGGAAUAUUCAGAAAAUAUGGCUUUAUCAUAGAAAAUAGAGCCUGAUUCCACCCUUUGGGAGUCAUUAAAAGCAGUAAACCAACAGCUAAUCCACAGCAUUUAACAGUAAAAAGUACCUGUUCUGUAAGUAAUCCGGGAAGCUUAAGUUGAUAUGUGUGAUUUGGGAAAAUCACGAGUGCUUUCAUUUGGGGAGAAGUUCAUUCUUGUGUCAAGAUGAAAUCUAUGCUCUCAGAAAAUUCAAAGAAUGCUGGCAUAUUUUAGUUAAUCUUCUGUAGUUUUUACACCAAGUAAAGACUGUAGACUUCACAUGUAUUGUUAUUAUUCUAAAUGAAAGCCAAACCAGUGCCAUAUUUGAUAGGUAUUAUGCCUGAAGUUAUUUUAAAAUAUUGUGUCAUGUCUGGAAACUGAUACAAGUCUCUGCAUGAUCAUAGUUUUAAAAAUCAUUUAACUAUUUUCUUGGGUUUUCACUAGUGGUGGAAAAGAGAAAACAUGAAUUAAAAUGUAGUAAUUACAUACAAUGUACUUCAGGAUAAGAGGGAAUGGAAACGCUUUAACAAAAUGUGAAUAUACAUGCUUUAAGCCUCGGAAGCCAGACAAGCACGUACAUUGUAAUGUACCAGGAACUCUGUGCUUUCACAUAUGUUAAAAAAAAGAAACCCCCAGGCCUAAAAUGGUGUCACUUAGACCGAGUUUCCAAACUGGGGCUUAAAACCCAAUCUGAUUGCAGUUUCUACCCUCCCCAGAAACAUGACCUUAACUGGUCAGUUUGGAAAUUUUUUCUUUCCAUCAGUGCCCACAGGUCUGCCACCUGGGUCCUCUCCAUCCCCUGAUGAAAGACAAGGUCAUCUGUGUAAUAAGACACCUUGCUUUUCCCUUUAGCAAACAUCAUGGUCUGGAACAAUCCUUUUCUUCUGCUAAUAACUUUCUUGCCCCCACGCUAUGUCUAUAAAAACCUUCCAUUUUAUACUUCUCAGAGCUCCCCUCUACUUGCUAGGUGGGGUGGCUGCUUGGUUCAUGAAUCACUUGGUAGAAAGCCACUUGGAUCUUCAAAUGUAUUUGGUUAAAUUUUUGUUAUGUAGUACAUAUAAUGAGUGAUAUGUAUUUUUUUUCCCUGAAGUGGUUCCAUUUCCUUCCUUCCUUCCUUCCUUCCUUCCUUCCUUCCUUCCUUCCUUCCUUCCUUCCUUCCUUCCUUCCUUCCUCUCAUUCUUUCAUUCUUUCUCUGUUUCUCUCUGCCUCUUUCUUUUUGUCAUACAAAAUGACCUCAUUUCACAAAAAUGAUCUCUUCUUUUCAUACCAGGUUUUCUUUGGGAUGUAAGUGUGUGUGUGUGUGUGUGUGUGUGUGUGUGUGUGCGGGGUGGGGGUGGGGGGUUACCUUGCUUUUUUUCCUCUAUCUCCAGGGAAUUGUAACUCUGUUCCCACUCCAUCUUCCUGGGCAUAGUUCAAGCAAACUGACAUCUUCCCCAUCCAAACUCUAAGUGCCUUCUAAUUUUUAUGAAUUAUAGGGACUUUAAAGGUUUAUUAAAUUAGCUCAUAUAAAUAAAAGUAAUAAAAUUCAUAUGCCAGAUAAAUCCAUUUGUGUUCUGGAGGGGCUCAGCCUUACACAGCAGGUAGGUAGCCUCAAAGCCACACUCCAGCAUCUGACAGGCCUGUCUCUUGCAGGCUCUCAGCUCAGAGUCCCCAGUGCUCUGCUGGGAGGUACAUUCCACACAGUCUGGGCCUAGGGUAUUGGUCCCUCAGGAAACAAAACAAAACAACUAACCAGAUUAAAAAAAAAUCCAAACAAUAAGUGAAGGCAUUUCCUAUCCAUGCUAGUCUCUUUUAACAUUGAUCAAAAACUUCAAACAUUAUCAAUCCCAGUUUCCUCUAUUAACAACAUUGCUUACUAUUUAUUUGUCUUCUCCUUUCUUUAAGCCAACUAUUGGUGUGUGUGUGUGUGUGUGUGUGUGUGUGUGUGUGUGUGAAAGAGUUUAAUAUAGUUAUUUUUUGCUAUAUACACUGUUCAUAUCUCACGUUUUUCUCAAUUGAACAUUUCUCUUUUAACUUUAUAGAGUUUCUUACUUGGGCCUAAGUUGUACAUUUUUGUGAAAUUGAUGCUGAUAGCAUAAAAAUUAAAAAAGAUAAGUUUAUGUCGUGGAAGAUUGCAAAAAUGGCCACAAGUUUUCAUGCCCCUUAUUUGUGCCCUUUGCAAUACAACUUUGCUGUGUGUCCCAUCAAGUCGUUGACCUAUUUCCCGACUCAUGACCUGUAUUGGCCAGUGGAAUACAGCAGCAGUAAAAAGGUGCACCAUUUGUUCUCUUUCCUAAAACGUUACCUCUGCCAUGUAAAAAAUCCAAGCCAGCUUCCUGGAAGAUGAGAGACAUGUGUCCUACUUGCCCUCAAUCCAUGCCAAUAUCCUGCCAACUAACAGACAUGUGGGUAAGGCCACCAGCCACUCCCCCUCAGCCCACCUGCCAGAUGACCACAGCCUCCGGAACAGCCCAGUUGACAUCAGCCACUCUUGUCCCAGAUCAGCAGAAUGGACCAGAUGACCUGCAGAUGUGUGAGCAAUAGUAAAUGAUUGCAGCUUUCAAGCACUCAGCUUUGGGACAAUUUGCUAUAAGGCAGUAAAUACCUGAUUCACUUAUACACUUAUAUUUUCUUUGAACAUUGCUUGUCCUUAACUCUUUAAUCCAUAUAAAGUUUAUUUUUGUGCAUAG
Long non-coding RNA from Canis lupus familiaris (dog), 3361 nucleotides. RefSeq lists it as uncharacterized. NCBI's taxonomy places the organism in Eukaryota, Metazoa, Chordata, Mammalia, Carnivora, Canidae. The record is from RefSeq and is a predicted model, not a curated record. The transcript has 2 exons.